ACCCCCCCCCCCCCCCCCCCCCCACUCCAGACAAGACGUCAUCCACAGCAGGACAAACCUGUGUGCAAUUCAACAUUGUAGCACGUUGAAAAAAUACCCUCGCUUUUUAGCUGUUUGUAAAAAAUUUUACUCCGUUUUUUGGAUUCAUUUGGCUACCCUUGGAUACUGUGGACGUGCAUGAGGACGACACACUGCAACAGACGUCACUGGGUGUCCUUGUGAAUUAUCUGCGGCAGGUUUACACUUCCUACAGCUCCACAACUGCAGAAGCAUGCCUUGGUUGUUCCUGGACUGGUUUGUUCCCGUGUACCUGCUUGUGUCGGUCCUCGUUUUGGCGGGUUUCGGUGCCUGUCUGUACUUUCUGGAGCCGGGACUACAGGACGCACACAAGUGGAGCUCUCAGUCGGCACACCGUCGCCCUCUAGUGGCGAACGAUGAGAACUGCUGUAAAGACGACGAUAACAAUGCGCUGAUUUAACCGUAGCGAAGAUCAGUUGAAAUGCUGUACACACGCUGUACUCACUGCCUGGACUGGACAAGACACCUUCAGUAUUCAAACCCUUCAGGGAGAACAGGGUUGAAGGCAUGAAACGAUGUCAGGAGUGUAUGAAAGAACAGGGCUCAUCACAGUAAACUCUUAGAACAACGAGACUACAUUGCAGUGCCAUUGACCUGAAAAAGAAAGAGAAGUUAAACGUAAUCUCUAUCAUAACAAAAUCAAGUAUACUUUUUUAAAAAGUAGUUGAAUUUUUACUGGUCAUAACUGUGCCAAAUCUGUGCUACAUUUCUACACUGGUUAAGUCUAGAACAUAUUGUCCAAGUAAAUGCUUUUAAUUUGAAAGUUCAUAAUGGUAUUUCUGUCCCGGCUUAUCUCUAAGUCUGUCUUGCAUGGGAUAUGAACAUGAUGAUAAUAGAUAUCCUGGAUCUUAGUAAUAAAACUGAUAUGACUGUGUUCGUGUACCAAAUCUAUGUGUUUCCCUCUUUUUGUUUUCAAAUCAACACCAAUAAACGGACAUGAGAUGCCUGAAUGAAAGACUGUUUAAGAUUUUUUUGUUUGUUUAUCAUUUAAAGAAACAUAUGCUGUUUGUCAUCAGAUGUAAUUUGACAAUAUACAGAUGUUGUACUGUGGGGAAAAUGCUUUGUACAUGCACACUGCGCACUGUGGAAGAAGCAUAAUAAAAUGCAUUAUUUUACCAUCA
This is a long non-coding RNA of Anguilla anguilla (European eel), 1199 nucleotides long. RefSeq lists it as uncharacterized. The record is from RefSeq and is a predicted model, not a curated record. Lineage: Eukaryota; Metazoa; Chordata; Actinopteri; Anguilliformes; Anguillidae. The transcript has 3 exons.